AUGUCCUUUGCCAGCAGCAACAACAUCAUUGUGUCGGUGUCCGUUUCGGCACCAGUGCUGGAGAAGGUCUCAUGGCGCUGCAGGUAUUCCACCGUGUCCACCGGGCUUGGUGUGUCUGUCGGCCUUGGCCCUCGGGGCCUCUUGUCUGUGAGAUUACAGACGGCAGAGACCAAUGGACAGGUUCAUCCUCACGUCCAUGUCCUGUCGCUGUUCGCUGCCGCCCAUACUUCAUAUAGAUUUUCAGAGGGGCUCAACCUUACGACGGAGAUAGAGAGACAUAUGGUUACCCUUUUCUCUGUGCUGGAGCUACACGUCCAAACGUUGGGGCAUGUUUUUGGAGCAUUUGCAUUGCAUAUAUUUGACAUCGAACGGAUCCGCACUAAUACAGAAAGCCUUAAGGUCAUCCUGAUGAGAUCAGAGGAUAAUGAAGCAUGCCCAGAAAAUUGCGCUUGUGAGCUGCCCAAUAAUAACUGGAGAAGCCAAACUAUCUCCGGGACCAUGACCAAACUUGAAAAGGUGGAAAUCAAAGGAUUCCAAGGAGAAGACCAUGAGUUUGAUUUCUUGAAGCUGAUAUUUAGCUGCGCACCAAAUCUGAAAACAAUGUCUGUGAGGCUGGCAGAUGAUAUCGCGGAAAGCAACGAUUGCUGCCAGAAAAUACAUGAUGUCUUCAAGGCGUAUUUCAUGGAAUGCAAUGUGGAUGUUCGUUCGCCUUGGGUCAAUAUGCAGCUGCCAUAG
Molecule: ribosomal RNA, 735 nt
Filed under: Triticum aestivum (bread wheat)
Lineage: Eukaryota; Viridiplantae; Streptophyta; Magnoliopsida; Poales; Poaceae
Description: partial small subunit ribosomal RNA
Source: RNAcentral